AUGCUCCCUGUCGCGCUACGAUCAGCGCUCCCUCGAGCUCCACAAGAAAUUCUUUCGGGCUGCGUCUGCACCUCUGAAAAGUUCACACACUCGAAGGAGGGGUCAUUGUUUCUUAUUGGAGAAGGCCUGGUGUUUAGUUGGUGUCUGUGUGGUACCUACACCAGCAUUUUCCAUCAAGACCUCCAGAAAGAGAUCAUCUCAAGAUCAUGCAAGUUCAACUAUAUAACCGCAUGCAUGUCUCCCUUAGUCCGACUAUUGCUGCUGCUUCAAAUCACAAAAUUUGAUUCAGCCAGUAAGUUGGUGCUAGUGGAUCAAGUCCAGGUCAACUAUUUUUAUGUUGGUUGUUACAAUAUUGUUUGA
Molecule: ribosomal RNA, 360 nt
Filed under: Triticum aestivum (bread wheat)
Lineage: Eukaryota; Viridiplantae; Streptophyta; Magnoliopsida; Poales; Poaceae
Description: partial small subunit ribosomal RNA
Source: RNAcentral